Molecule: ribosomal RNA, 411 nt
Filed under: Triticum aestivum (bread wheat)
Lineage: Eukaryota; Viridiplantae; Streptophyta; Magnoliopsida; Poales; Poaceae
Description: partial small subunit ribosomal RNA
Source: RNAcentral
AUGCGGCGCAGGAGGACGAAGGGGUUGGGCGCCUCGGCGGCGUCCGGGGCCACCGCGUCGGCGUCGGCGUCCGGCGGCGUGGGCAGCACGUGGAAGCGGACGGACGGGUUGGCCGCCGCGGCGCGCGCGACGGCGGCCGAGGUGUCCGUGGCCUUGCCCGGCGGGACGUUGACGAUGACGGUGACGGCGAGGCCGCCGCGCAGGAAGAGCUUGGCCAGCUCCACCAUGGGCACCAGGUGGCCCACGCCGAGCCCGGGGUUGAGAACCACCGUGUCCCCCAUGGCCGGACGCUGCCGCGUACUAGAUUCCAUGUGCGGGAGCCUCGGAAGAACCGUUUCUCCUAAUACCAUGCCAGAUGACACGAUCGGUAUUUGCGUUGAGAUACCUGAUCAUCCAAGCUUGUGUUUUUGA